AUGAACGCUGGCGGCGUGCCUAAUCCAUGCCAGUCGAGCGAACGGACGAGAAGCUUGCUUCUCUGAUGUUAGCGGCGGACGGGUGAGUAACACGUGGAUAACCUACCUAUAAGACUGGGAUAACUUCGGGAAACCGGAGCUAAUACCGGAUAAUAUUUUGAACCGCAUGGUUCAAAAGUGAAAGACGGUCUUGCUGUCACUUAUAGAUGGAUCCGCGCUGCAUUAGCUAGUUGGUAAGGUAACGGGUUACCAAGGCAACGAUGCAUAGCCGACCUGAGAGGGUGAUCGGCCACACUGGAACUGAGACACGGUCCAGACUCCUACGGGAGGCAGCAGUAGGGAAUCUUCCGCAAUGGGCGAAAGCCUGACGGAGCAACGCCGCGUGAGUGAUGAAGGUCUUCGGAUCGUAAAACUCUGUUAUUAGGGAAGAACAUAUGUGUAAGUAACUGUGCACAUCUUGACGGUACCUAAUCAGAAAGCCACGGCUAACUACGUG
RNAcentral lists this ribosomal RNA (496 nucleotides) under uncultured bacterium. RNAcentral's name for it is "partial 16S ribosomal RNA". It matches the Rfam family "Bacterial small subunit ribosomal RNA", at positions 29 to 507 of the family's 1533-position model. The record is from RNAcentral.